GCGCCUGUAGCUCAGUUGGAUAGAGCAACGGACUUCUAAUCCGUAGGCCGGGCGUUCGAGUCGCCCCAGGCGCA
RNAcentral lists this transfer RNA (74 nucleotides) under bacterium. RNAcentral describes it as "tRNA-Arg". It matches the Rfam family "tRNA". From Rfam's summary of the family: Transfer RNA (tRNA) molecules are approximately 80 nucleotides in length. Their secondary structure includes four short double-helical elements and three loops (D, anti-codon, and T loops). Further hydrogen bonds mediate the characteristic L-shaped molecular structure. tRNAs have two regions of fundamental functional importance: the anti-codon, which is responsible for specific mRNA codon recognition, and the 3' end, to which the tRNAs corresponding amino acid is attached (by aminoacyl-tRNA synthetases). tRNAs cope with the degeneracy of the genetic code in two manners: having more than one tRNA (with a specific anti-codon) for a particular amino acid; and 'wobble' base-pairing, i.e. permitting non-standard base-pairing at the 3rd anti-codon position. RNAcentral also lists the same sequence under 1 other name. The record is from RNAcentral.